This 1130-nucleotide ribosomal RNA is filed under the name metagenome. Its description in RNAcentral is "SSU rRNA". It matches the Rfam family "Eukaryotic small subunit ribosomal RNA", at positions 558 to 1730 of the family's 1831-position model. The record is from RNAcentral.
GUUCUGGUGCCAGCAGCCGCGGUAAUUCCAGCUCCAGUAGCGUAUAUUAAAGUUGCUGCAGUUAAAAAGCUCGUAGUUGAAUUUCUGUUUGUAAGAGUCGAAGCUUUACAGCUAAGAUUUCUUCGAACAUCUGUUUGCAAGCAUACGUUCGGCCUUCACUGGUUGGCUAUGUAAGCAAGCGCUUUACCUUGAGAAAAUUAGAGUGUUCCAGGCAGGCUUCAGCCGGAAUACAUUAGCAUGGAAUAAUGGAAUAGGACUGGGGACUAUUUAUUGGUUUGAGGCUCCAGUAAUGAUUAAUAGGAACAGUCGGGGGCAUUGGUACUUAACAGUCAGAGGUGAAAUUCUUGGAUUUGUUAAAGACUAACUAAUGCGAAAGCAUUUGCCAAGCAUGUUUUCAUUAAUCAAGAACGAAAGUUAGGGGAUCAAAGACGAUUAGAUACCGUCCUAGUCUUAACUGUAAACGAUUCCAUCUUAGAAUUGGGUGAAUAUUUGAUGAUUCAUCCAGCGCUAUAAGAGAAAUCAAAGUCUUUGGGUUCUUGGUGGAGUACGAUCGCAAGAUUGAAACUUAAAGGAAUUGACGGUUUUGCACACCAUGGAGUGGAGCCUGUGGCUUAAUUUGACACAACACUGGGAAACUCAUCAGGACAACAAAGUUUUAGGAUUGACAGAUUGAUAGCUCUUUCUUGAUUGACUUAAUGGUGGUGCAUGGCCGUUCUUAGUUGGUGGAGUGAUUUGUCUGGUUAAUUCCGUUAACGAACGAGACCUUAACCUACUAACUAGUACGACGUGACGAACGUUAGUUACUUCUUAGAGGGACAAUGUGUAUUUUUAACACAAGGAAGUUUAAGGCAACAACAGGUCUGUGAUGCCCUUAGAUGUCCUGAGCCGCACACGCGCUACAAUGACACUUUCAAUAAGUUUUUGCUGGUCCGACAGGAUUUCGGCUAAUCUUUUUAGUAAGUGUCGUGCUAGGGAUAGAUCUUUGCAAUUGUGGAUCUUGAACGAGGAAUUCCUAGUAAGCACAAGUCAUCAGCUUGUGCUGAUUACGUCCCUGCAAAAUGUACACAUCGCCCGUCGCUUGCUCCGAUUGAGUAAUCUGGUGAGCCUUCUUGACUGAGUAAGUAAUUACG